Molecule: transfer RNA, 85 nt
Filed under: Planctomycetota bacterium
Lineage: Bacteria; Pseudomonadati; Planctomycetota
Description: Planctomycetes bacterium tRNA-Leu
Rfam family: tRNA
About the family: Transfer RNA (tRNA) molecules are approximately 80 nucleotides in length. Their secondary structure includes four short double-helical elements and three loops (D, anti-codon, and T loops).
Source: RNAcentral
GCGGAAGUGGCGGAAUUGGCAGACGCGCGAGAUUUAGGUUCUCGUGGGGAGACCCGUGGGGGUUCGAGUCCCCCCUUCCGCACCA